GCAAAACGCGAAGAACCUUACCCACCUUUGACAUGUACGGAAUCCUUUAGAGAUAGAGGAGUGCUCGAAAGAGAGCCGUAACACAGGUGCUGCAUGGCUGUCGUCAGCUCGUGUCGUGAGAUGUUGGGUUAAGUCCCGCAACGAGCGCAACCCUUGCCAUUAGUUGCUACAUUUAGUUGAGCACUCUAAUGGGACUGCCGGUGACAAACCGGAGGAAGGUGGGGAUGACGUCAAGUCCUCAUGGCCCUUAUAGGUGGGGCUACACACGUCAUACAAUGGCUGGUACAAAGGGUUGCCAACCCGCGAGGGGGAGCUAAUCCCAUAAAGCCAGUCGUAGUCCGGAUCGCAGUCUGCAACUCGACUGCGUGAAGUCGGAAUCGCUGGUAAUCGUGGAUCAGAAUGUCACGGUGAAUACGUUCCCGGGUCUUGUACACACCG
Molecule: ribosomal RNA, 438 nt
Filed under: uncultured bacterium
Lineage: Bacteria
Description: bacterial SSU rRNA
Rfam family: Bacterial small subunit ribosomal RNA
Source: RNAcentral